GUGAGGAAUAUUGGUCAAUGGGCGCAGGCCUGAACCAGCCAAGUCGCGUGAAGGAUGACUGCCCUAUGGGUUGUAAACUUCUUUAGUACAUGAAGAACAGGAUCUACGCGUAGGUUUAUGACGGUAAUGUACAAAAAAGCAUCGGCUAACUCCGUGCCAGCAGCCGCGGUAAUACGGAGGAUGCGAGCGUUAUCCGGAUUCAUUGGGUUUAAAGGGUACGUAGGUGGCCCUGUAAGUCAGUGGUGAAAAUCUGGCGCUUAACGGUAGGGGUGCCAAUGAUACUGCGGGGCUUGAGUACAGUUGAGGUAGGUGGAAUGUGUAGUGUAGCGGUGAAAUGCAUAGAUAUUACACAGAACUCCGAUUGCGAAGGCAUCUUACUAAGCUGAAACUGACACUGAUGUACGAAAGCGUGGGGAUCGAACAGGAUUAGAUACCCGAGUAGUCC
Molecule: ribosomal RNA, 445 nt
Filed under: uncultured bacterium
Lineage: Bacteria
Description: partial 16S ribosomal RNA
Rfam family: Bacterial small subunit ribosomal RNA
Source: RNAcentral